GUCUACAGCCAUGCCACUCUGAACAAGCCCGAUCCCAUCUGAUCUCAGAAGCUAAGCAGGGUCGGGCCUGGUUAGUACUUGGAUAGGAGACCACCUAGGAAGACCAGAUGCUGUAGGCA
RNAcentral lists this ribosomal RNA (119 nucleotides) under Pteropus alecto (black flying fox). Lineage: Eukaryota; Metazoa; Chordata; Mammalia; Chiroptera; Pteropodidae. The record is from RNAcentral.